Molecule: ribosomal RNA, 444 nt
Filed under: uncultured bacterium
Lineage: Bacteria
Description: partial 16S ribosomal RNA
Rfam family: Bacterial small subunit ribosomal RNA
Source: RNAcentral
CCAGACUCCUACGGGAGGCAGCAGUGGGGAAUAUUGCACAAUGGGGGAAACCCUGAUGCAGCAACGCCGCGUGAGUGAGGAAGUAUUUCGGUAUGUAAAGCUCUAUCAGCAGGGAAUAGAAAAGAAGGUACCUGAAAAAGAAGCCCCGGCUAACUACGUGCCAGCAGCCGCGGUAAUACGGAGGAUGCGAGCGUUAUCCGGAUUUAUUGGGUUUAAAGGGCGCGUAGGCGGAUUUUUAAGUCAGCGGUAAAAUGUCCGGGCUCAACCCGGGCCGGCCGUUGAAACUGGCAGUCUUGAGUGGGCGAGAAGUAUGCGGAAUGCGUGGUGUAGCGGUGAAAUGCAUAGAUAUCACGCAGAACUCCGAUUGCGAAGGCAGCAUACCGGCGCCCUACUGACGCUGAGGCACGAAAGCGUGGGUAUCGAACAGGAUUAGAUACCCCCGUA